Molecule: transfer RNA, 73 nt
Filed under: Bos taurus (domestic cattle)
Lineage: Eukaryota; Metazoa; Chordata; Mammalia; Artiodactyla; Bovidae
Also listed under: 2 other names
Rfam family: tRNA
About the family: Transfer RNA (tRNA) molecules are approximately 80 nucleotides in length. Their secondary structure includes four short double-helical elements and three loops (D, anti-codon, and T loops). Further hydrogen bonds mediate the characteristic L-shaped molecular structure. tRNAs have two regions of fundamental functional importance: the anti-codon, which is responsible for specific mRNA codon recognition, and the 3' end, to which the tRNAs corresponding amino acid is attached (by aminoacyl-tRNA synthetases). tRNAs cope with the degeneracy of the genetic code in two manners: having more than one tRNA (with a specific anti-codon) for a particular amino acid; and 'wobble' base-pairing, i.e. permitting non-standard base-pairing at the 3rd anti-codon position.
Source: Rfam by way of RNAcentral
UCCCUGGUGGUCCAGUGGCUAAGACUUCACGUUCCCAAUACAGGAGGCCCAGGUUUGAUUCCUGGUCAGGGAA